ACCCAAAUUUUUAUCCAGGUUGACCUCGGAUCAGGUAGGGAUACCCGCUGAACUUAAGCAUAUCAAUAAGCGGAGGAAAAGAAACCAACAGGGAUUGCCCCAGUAACGGCGAGUGAAGCGGCAAGAGCUCAAAUUUGAAAGCUGCCUCCUUCGGGGUCCGCAUUGUAAUUUGCAGAGGAUGCUUCG
This 186-nucleotide ribosomal RNA is filed under the name Penicillium commune. RNAcentral describes it as "partial 28S ribosomal RNA". The stretch from base 21 to 186 matches the Rfam family "Eukaryotic large subunit ribosomal RNA", at positions 1 to 166 of the family's 3401-position model. The record is from RNAcentral. Lineage: Eukaryota; Fungi; Ascomycota; Eurotiomycetes; Eurotiales; Aspergillaceae.